This 68-nucleotide transfer RNA is filed under the name Carbrunneria paramaxi. RNAcentral's name for it is "tRNA-Ile". The record is from RNAcentral. Lineage: Eukaryota; Metazoa; Arthropoda; Insecta; Blattodea; Blattellidae.
AAUGAAGUGCCUGAAUAAAGGAUUAUCAUGAUAGGAUAAACUAUGUAAGACCACUUUUACCUUCAUUA